This 68-nucleotide transfer RNA is filed under the name Pseudogekko compresicorpus (Philippine false gecko). Its description in RNAcentral is "tRNA-Trp". The record is from RNAcentral. Lineage: Eukaryota; Metazoa; Chordata; Lepidosauria; Squamata; Gekkonidae.
AAGUUUAGGUUACACACUAACCCGGGGGCCUUCAAAGCCCUCACCAGAGCCCCACACCUCUAACUUCU